AAGACCCAGUUGAAAUGCUGUAAAGUGAAAGCCAGACCAAUUAAAAACUUCUGAGCUAUGCGAAUACUGGAUUUGUGUUCGUACAUCGUCGUCGCUCUCUUCAGAUUUCUGCAACAGAAAGACAAGCAGAGAGUUAAUUAGAGAGAGAUAAUCUCCU
Molecule: long non-coding RNA, 157 nt
Organism: Fundulus heteroclitus (mummichog)
Lineage: Eukaryota; Metazoa; Chordata; Actinopteri; Cyprinodontiformes; Fundulidae
Exons: 2
Source: RefSeq, a predicted model, not a curated record